UCAUCCAGUUUGGCAUGUCCAACAGCUUGGUAAUCUCGGGAUCAUGCAAUCUCACAGCUAAUAAUCUAGCUGUCUGACAUCUUUCUAUAUAAACAAUCAGAGCCUUGAGGAUCUAGGUAAGUUCGAUCAAAUUCAUCUCAGAGAAUCUAUUGCUGCUCUUUCAUUCUCUAUUUUUCUAACUUAAGUAUCAGAGGAUCCUCAUCGGAGUCACAAUCUCUGAUUUGAGACUUACUUUGCAGGUC
RNAcentral lists this long non-coding RNA (242 nucleotides) under Elaeis guineensis (African oil palm). RNAcentral describes it as "long non-coding RNA (EGUI_LNC027401)". The record is from RNAcentral. Lineage: Eukaryota; Viridiplantae; Streptophyta; Magnoliopsida; Arecales; Arecaceae.